RNAcentral lists this ribosomal RNA (467 nucleotides) under uncultured bacterium. Its description in RNAcentral is "partial 16S ribosomal RNA". It matches the Rfam family "Bacterial small subunit ribosomal RNA", at positions 28 to 506 of the family's 1533-position model. The record is from RNAcentral.
GACGAACGCUGGCGGCGUGCUUAACACAUGCAAGUCGAACGGAAAGGCCCUGCUUUUGUGGGGUGCUCGAGUGGCGAACGGGUGAGUAACACGUGAGUAACCUGCCCUUGACUUUGGGAUAACUUCAGGAAACUGGGGCUAAUACCGGAUAGGAGCUCCUGCUGCAUGGUGGGGGUUGGAAAGUUUCGGCGGUUGGGGAUGGACUCGCGGCUUAUCAGCUUGUUGGUGGGGUAGUGGCUUACCAAGGCUUUGACGGGUAGCCGGGCUGAGAGGGUGACCGGCCAAAUUGGGACUGAAGAACGGCCCAGACCCCUAGGGGGGGCAGCAGGGGGGAAUUUUGCACAAGGGGGGGAGCCCUGAUCCAACAACGCCGCCGGCGGGAAGGCGCCCUUCGGGGUUGAAACCGCUUUCGCCUGUAACGAAGCGGGAGUGGCGGUAAUGGGUAAAGGAGCCCCGGCUAACUACGU